Molecule: RNA transcript, 3585 nt
Organism: Peromyscus californicus insignis
Lineage: Eukaryota; Metazoa; Chordata; Mammalia; Rodentia; Cricetidae
Gene: Ttll11
Gene name: tubulin tyrosine ligase like 11
Exons: 12
Source: RefSeq, a predicted model, not a curated record
CCGACCCUGAGCGCCAUGUGGCGCAGCAGCCCCGAGCGGGAGCUGGCGGCCAGCUGGGCGGCGGACGCGGCGGCGGGCAGGGCGCCAGCGGCGGAGGCGGAGGAGCCGCCGGCCGUGGACGCGGGCGCGGCCGGGGAGCCCGAGCGCCCGGCGCGCGAGGAGCAGCCCAAGGCCGAGCUGCAGGCCCCGGCGCGACCCCGCGCGGCCGAGGAAGGCGAUGCCCGCGUCGCCCGGCGCCUGCCGCCCGCGCUGCCCCUGGCCCCGGCACGGCCGGCGGCGCGGGCCCUGUGCCAGCUCGCCAAGGCCCGGGGCCGGGGCCGCGGCUACCGACGCGGCUCGGGCUCGCUGCGGCCGGUCACCGUGGACAGCUCCAAGGCUCGCACCUCCCUGGACGCGCUGAAGAUCAGCCUUCGCCAGCUCCGGUGGAAGGAGAUGUCUUGCGAGUCACUGAAGCACUCCCAGGAGGGGGUUCCCCUUUACUCUGCUGAGGAUUUUGCGGGGAGGUGUCCGCUUUCUAAGUUCCCAUUUGGCCGGCGCUUGCCUUGUGACAUCUACUGGCACGGAGUUUCAUUUCACGACAAUGACAUACUCUCCGGUCAAGUGAACAAAUUUCCAGGCAUGACGGAGAUGGUGCGGAAAAUCACUCUGAGCAGAGCACUGAGAAUCAUGCAGAACCUGUUUCCAGAGGAGUACAACUUCUACCCUCGCUCGUGGAUUCUGCCUGAGGAGUUCCAGCUCUUUGUCGCUCAGGUCCGGAUGGUGAAAGAUGGUGACCCAUCCUGGAAGCCCACUUUUAUUGUGAAACCGGACGGUGGUUGUCAGGGUGAUGGAAUCUACCUCAUUAAAGAUCCCAAUGACAUCCGCCUGACUGGGACCCUCCAGAGCAGGCCGGCAGUGGUCCAGGAGUACAUUUAUAAGCCUCUCCUUAUUGACAAGCUCAAGUUCGACAUCCGUCUGUACGUCUUGUUGAAGUCAUUGGACCCCUUAGAGAUUUAUAUAGCCAAAGAUGGACUCUCUAGAUUUUGUACAGAGCCAUAUCAAGAGCCGAACCCCCAGAAUCUGCACCAUGUCUUUAUGCACUUAACCAACUACUCGCUGAACAUCCACAGUGGCAAGUUCAUCCACUCUGACAGCGCCAGCACAGGCAGCAAGAGGACUUUUUCGAGCAUCCUCUGCAGACUCUCCUCUAAAGGUGUGGACAUCAAGAAGGUCUGGUCUGACAUCAUCUCCUUGGUGAUCAAGACGGUCAUCGCCCUGACCCCAGAGCUCAAAGUUUUCUACCAGUCAGACAUCCCUACAGGGAGGCCAGGGCCCACCUGCUUCCAGAUUUUAGGCUUUGACAUUCUUCUGAUGAAAAGCCUGAAACCUAUGCUACUUGAAGUGAAUGCAAACCCCAGCAUGAGAAUUGAGCAUGAAUACGAACUCUCUCCAGGGGUGUUUGAAAAUAUCCCCAGCCUGGUGGAUGAGGAGGUGAAGGUGGCCGUGAUCAGAGACACGCUGCGCCUCAUGGACCCUCUGAAGAAGAAAAAGGAGACACAGUCUCAGCAUCCCGAAAAGCCUAUCACUGGGAAGGAAGAUCUGGACUGUGAGAUGACCGGUGACCCCGACUCCAACCCUGAAGCCCACCUGCCCUCUAUUUGCCUCAAGCAGGUGUUCCCCAAGUAUGCCAAGCAGUUCAACUACCUGCGCCUGGUAGACAGGAUGGCUAAUUUGUUUAUCCGUUUCCUGGGAAUCAAGGGGACAAUGAAGUUGGGACCGACUGGCUUUCGGACCUUCAUAAGGAACUGCAAGCUGAGCAGCAGCAGCCUGUCCAUGGCUGCAGUGGACAUCCUCUACAUCGACAUCACAAGGAGGUGGAACUCCGUGACCCUGGACCAGCGGGACUCAGCCUUCCCCAUGUUGGAGUUUGAACCUAUGGUCUUGUACAUACUGGGGAUGUGUCUCCAGGCAUUUGUUGAAGCUUUCUUCUUCCUGGCCCAGAGGAAGUUCAAGAUGCUGCCUCUGCAUGAGCAGGUGGCCUCCUUGAUCGACCUGUGUGAAUACCACCUGUCCCUGCUGGACGAAAAGCGCUUAGUGUGCGGCCGGCGCAGGCGCCCCCAAAGCAGUCCUCCCCAGGAGAUGAACGCCAGAACCCAGUCAGCUGCAGGCAGCCUUGCGCCCCGCAUGAUCGGUGCUAACAAGCUGCCUCACUCUAGACACGCUCUGUCCUGAAGACCACCCUACCCUCCUGGAAGAAGGUGUGCUCUUGGGGGCUCAGCACCCCGGGCUCCCCCGAUCUGUGGGGAACCACUAGGGUUCCAGCUACAAUGGCCAGGAAUCCUCUGUGUUCUGCAGGACUCUCGCCUCACAUGGCCAGUUCUUGCCCACCCUCCUCCCGGCAGCUCGUGGUGACCCACCCUGCUUGUGAGUCACCAGUGGAUAUAUGACAUCUGAGAUGUGACAGAUGGCACCUACUGUUCCAGGUUCCUGGGAAGCACCAACUGGGGCACUUCUGCUGUACUUGGGGCCACAGGGAGCAGAGCAUGGGAGAAAGGAUAGACCAUUUCAAAGCAAGGAACUGUGGCUGCGAGGUCACACUUGGGGUCUGCUGGGGCCUCUGCGAGCCUGCUGGUCAGAGCUCAGGAUCUCAGCAGCUCUUUCCACCUACCUGUUCUCUGAGAGAAGCAGAACUAUCAAGAUGGUGGACACCCCAAUCAUGUGCUAUAUGGGUGUACUUAACAGAUUAACCUCACUUAUUUCAUUAACUUGCCUGUUGCAAUGUUUGAUUUAUUACUAUUGAAGAAAUAAUUAAGAAGUAAUGGGUUCUUCAGUCUUCCCGUCCAGCUUCCAGGGGACCCCAGCAAAGGUGGGGUGCUGACCCAAUGGCCAAGAGCCACUGUGUACCCACCCAGCACUGUGCUGUCAGCUCCGGGAGAGGGGAGGGUUCAGAGGGAGAACGCAAGGCCCAGAGAGGCAGGGCAAGCACAAGUGUGUGGAGAGGUGUGGGGUUCUAGACCAGAGCAAUCAGUGUUCUCAAAUGGUCUGCUGUGGGGAUCCUUGUUGGCCAACCGGGAGCUGUACAGGGCUAUUAAACAGAGCUUUGACUUGAUACUUUUUCUCAAAAUGAGUCUUCACAAAGUGCUUGCCAGCACGGAGCAGAGAGGAAAUGGGCACAUUUUUAUAUUACCACGUUGAGGUAAUACAAAAAAUGUCAGCAUUCGUGGUGAGAGAUGGCCUCUCUACGACGCCUGUCAUCUAGAGCAGAGAUCAUGUCAGAGUGGACCCAAAGAGCCUGGCUUGAGACUUGGCACCUGGGAAGUGUCUUCACAAACGUCUGCUGAGGAAGGUAUGGUCUCCAUAUGCUGAAAGCCACAGAUGCCCACAGAUGCCGGGGAAACACUGCUCCAGGCCAUGAGCCCUGGCAGGGGAGGCUCCUGGAAGUCUGCUGAGACCUCGGCUCCCCUCCCCCUGCCACUCCCACCUCUUAAGCCUUUCAAAAUUCUUUAUUAAAUUUUCAUGGCGCAUGUAUUCAAGGCUCUGUUACAGCCUCAGUUGUCUUGGUAACUUCGUAAAAUGCAAUAAUAAAAUGAAGCUGAGUGUCACUAA